RNAcentral lists this long non-coding RNA (1192 nucleotides) under Mytilus galloprovincialis (Mediterranean mussel). The record is from RNAcentral. Lineage: Eukaryota; Metazoa; Mollusca; Bivalvia; Mytilida; Mytilidae.
GCAGGUUAUAUGUCAUUAUGAUGGUAGAAUUCUACCAAAGAAACAAAUCUGCUACAAGGGGUGCACAGUGAGGAUCUAUAUGAUAUCAAUUAUUUAACGAUAAAUUUUAUUUUAAAAACGUAUAUCAUAAACGUGCACCCCACAUUUCCUUUUGUUAAUCAUAUUAAUAAUGAAUAUUACAAGUUCAAAUUUUGUGACUCUAUACACUUCUUUGCGUGUUCAACAAGUAGAAAUUUAAAUUUUAUUAUUCAACUAGAGUAUUCAAAGAGCCUAUGUCGAUCACCUGCAUCUUCAACAAUGCAUACUUGGUAGUAACGUAACAAAACUCUAUUAAAAGUUAACCAACACUUUCAGUCAUGUUGACAUAGUUUUAAAUCGUAUCCUGUUGAAAAUAUUUCCUUUUCAAAGUGUUUGUAAACUUUUUUUGUUUGAAAAUUGCUGUUGAAGGGCAAUAUAUUCAAUAAGGAGUCGUCUAACAAUGUCGGUCAUGGUGACUUAUUACUAUAGAACUUUCUUGCUGAUCACUUUUGCUAUUUGAAGUUUCUAUCUAUCUAAGAUAUUAGGCAAAAACGGAAAAUAAUAUGUCGAAAAUCGUCAUCAUAGGACAAUAACUCUAAUAAAGAGUUGAUUCAAGAUUUCGACUAUAUUUGACUUUUUUUUAGAGCUUGUCUGAUAUUUUGUUGUUGUUUAAAAAGUUUCUGUCCACCUAUUGUUAUCUUCGAGAUUUGUAAAAUUGAUCAUUUAAAGAUAACAAAUCUUAUCAGAAGUCGUUGGAUAGUUUUGACAUAGUGACAUGAACAAUAGGUAGAGUUUAACAUUCUUAUCAUCUUAGCCAUAGUCAUAUAUUUUCUUUUCAUAGCGGUUUUCAAUAUAACAAGCAAAACUACUUGCAUUUUCUAUUUUUAGCCAUGUCGGCUAUCUUAAUUUGCAAGUGAGGACAGUGGCUACAGUAGACACUCCGAUUAUGAUUGUAGCCAAGUUUGGUAAAAUUUGUCAAGUAGAUUUAGAGGAGAGUAUUUUUUUAAAAGAUAAAAGACGUACGACAAACGCUAACCUAAGUGAUGAAAAAUGUUCACCUAGGCUUUUAUAUCAGAUGAGCUGAAAUGGAAUCUCAAAGACUUUGCCAUUUUAUUUGCAUUCAGUUUAUGAAAAUACCAUUACAUUUAAUAAGAACAAUAUCAUAUAAGAUUAU